GGGGCCAGAAGGUGGACCAGGAGCAGCCCGGGUCUGAGGAGGGCCUGGCUACCGUGGCUGAGGGUCCCAGGGGUCCCGGUGGGAAGUGGGCACUGCCUGGCCUGAGGGGCACGGUCCCGGCCAGCUGGUUGGGGCCGCACAGCCUGCUCCAGCCCUGAGGCCAUGUCCACGGCCAGCUCCCAGCCAACGUUUAGAGAAUGUGUUUCCUGGGGUUCCGAGGACAAAGUAGGGGUCAGUCUGAACGAGGCACUGACCUCAAGGGAAUUGGUGUUUCCUUGAGAACCAGAAGUAUUGGAACUUGGAUCUUGGGUUAAUUAUCCAAAUCUUUGGAAAAAGUGUUGUUUUGAUUCUUCAUCUGAAAAUCCUGAAAUUCUGCCUUCUCUUGAGGAUGUGAGUCAAAGGAGCAAGACGAAGUGAGUAAAACUGUGCAGAUUUCUCAGCGAGACUGAGAAGUGCCAUCUUGAACCAGCUCCACAGGAGCCCGGAUUUUGCUGCUGCCGGGCCCUGCCCCCAGCGCCUUGCACUGGAGAUGAUGUGAACUAGCGAUGCUCAGAUUUGUAACCUGGAGACUCCAGACGUUUUUUAAUCCCGUGCCCUCAGGCUGAACACCCCCCUUUGACUGUCUCCUGACUUCCUUCGUGUAUAAGAGAAGCUCACCCUGCGCUGCUUUUAGGAACCUCUGGUGGAAACGCCACAGCGGACCCGUUCUGUGGCUCCUUCUGCGAGGCUCGUUAUCUCAGGGUCUGUGUAGGAGCAGUUUGUUCCCAGAGAGCCUGAGAUACCCUUCAUCUGGCGUCUUUAUCUUAGAGAUGAUGGUGCCAGUUGUGAACAAGGCGGCUUUAUUUCUCUCCAGCUCUGGAUCAGGAUGGACCCUGCUGGAUGGGGUGUUUCCCUCCCUGGAACUUACAGAUGCCGCAGUUGUGGCCAAAAAGAAAAGAGACAGACGGUGGUGGCUGGGACCAGAGCGGAAGAGUGAAGAUUGUAGAAGUGGAUGACGGUCCUGAAUGCUGGCAAGGAGGCUGGGGUUUCCGGCUGCAUAGCUGUCCUAGCAUCUGAAAUGGAAGGAAACUAUUCAGUUAGCAUUUCCACCCUGGUCCCUCCUGCAGUGAUUUGUGUCUCCGCACUAUUAGCUUGAAUUCAGCUGAAGUCAUUUCCUAUGGGGUUAUUCUCCUGUUAACAGGAGAAACCCAGCAAUCCUGCCCCGCUGGGCUCAAAACGCCUCUCUCCCUCUUUCCAUGUUUAAAAAUAUCGAACAGUCGUCUCCAAGCUCAAGGGAAAUAAAGUGCCCAAAACAACUUGA
Molecule: long non-coding RNA, 1300 nt
Filed under: Sus scrofa (pig)
Lineage: Eukaryota; Metazoa; Chordata; Mammalia; Artiodactyla; Suidae
Description: lncRNA (ENSSSCG00065067872.1)
Source: RNAcentral